Molecule: ribosomal RNA, 473 nt
Filed under: Staphylococcus aureus
Lineage: Bacteria; Bacillati; Bacillota; Bacilli; Caryophanales; Staphylococcaceae
Description: bacterial SSU rRNA
Rfam family: Bacterial small subunit ribosomal RNA
Source: RNAcentral
UUUUAUGGAGAGUUUGAUCCUGGCUCAGGAUGAACGCUGGCGGCGUGCCUAAUACAUGCAAGUCGAGCGAACGGACGAGAAGCUUGCUUCUCUGAUGUUAGCGGCGGACGGGGGAGUAACACGUGGAUAACCUACCUAUAAGACUGGGAUAACUUCGGGAAACCGGAGCUAAUACCGGAUAAUAUUUUGAACCGCAUGGUUCAAAAGUGAAAGACGGUCUUGCUGUCACUUAUAGAUGGAUCCGCGCUGCAUUAGCUAGUUGGUAAGGUAACGGCUUACCAAGGCAACGAUGCAUAGCCGACCUGAGAGGGUGAUCGGCCACACUGGAACUGAGACACGGUCCAGACUCCUACGGGAGGCAGCAGUAGGGAAUCUUCCGCAAUGGGCGAAAGCCUGACGGAGCAACGCCGCGUGAGUGAUGAAGGUCUUCGGAUCGUAAAACUCUGUUAUUAGGGAAGAACAUAUGUGUAAGU